CGGCGGACGGGUGAGUAAUGCCUAGGAAUCUGCCUGGUAGUGGGGGACAACGUUUCGAAAGGAACGCUAAUACCGCAUACGUCCUACGGGAGAAAGCAGGGGACCUUCGGGCCUUGCGCUAUCAGAUGAGCCUAGGUCGGAUUAGCUAGUUGGUGAGGUAAUGGCUCACCAAGGCGACGAUCCGUAACUGGUCUGAGAGGAUGAUCAGUCACACUGGAACUGAGACACGGUCCAGACUCCUACGGGAGGCAGCAGCA
RNAcentral lists this ribosomal RNA (257 nucleotides) under uncultured Pseudomonas sp. Its description in RNAcentral is "partial 16S ribosomal RNA". It matches the Rfam family "Bacterial small subunit ribosomal RNA", at positions 96 to 355 of the family's 1533-position model. Lineage: Bacteria; Pseudomonadati; Pseudomonadota; Gammaproteobacteria; Pseudomonadales; Pseudomonadaceae. The record is from RNAcentral.